AACGCACAUUGCGCCCCCUGGUAUUCCGGGGGGCAUGCCUGUUCGAGCGUCAUUUCACCACUCAAGCCUCGCUUGGUAUUGGGCAGUCGCGAGUCUCUCGCGCGCCUCAAAGUCUCCGGCUGAGGGUCUUCUGUCUCCCAGCGUUGUGGAAACUAUUCGCUAGAGGAUGUUCGAGUCGUCGCGGCCGUAAAAUCCUUUCUAAGGUUGACCUCGGAUCAGGUAGGGAUACCCGCUGAACUUAA
This 242-nucleotide unclassified non-coding RNA is filed under the name uncultured fungus. RNAcentral's name for it is "partial contains 5.8S ribosomal RNA, internal transcribed spacer 2, and large subunit ribosomal RNA". The stretch from base 1 to 52 matches the Rfam family "5.8S ribosomal RNA", at positions 103 to 154 of the family's 154-position model. Lineage: Eukaryota; Fungi. The record is from RNAcentral.